Molecule: small RNA, 28 nt
Filed under: Bombyx mori (domestic silkworm)
Lineage: Eukaryota; Metazoa; Arthropoda; Insecta; Lepidoptera; Bombycidae
Description: ovarian small RNA-6731
Source: RNAcentral
UCAAAUCAGGUGAGGUCUAGUAUAAGCC